GGACCCGCACAAGCGGUGGAUGAUGUGGAUUAAUUCGAUGCAACGCGAAAAACCUUACCUACCCUUGACAUGGAAGGAAUCCCUGAGAGAUUGGGGAGUGCCCGAAAGGGAACCUUUACACAGGUGCUGCAUGGCUGUCGUCAGCUCGUGUCGUGAGAUGUUGGGUUAAGUCCCGCAACGAGCGCAACCCUUGUCAUUAGUUGCUACGAAAGGGCACUCUAAUGAGACUGCCGGUGACAAACCGGAGGAAGGUGGGGAUGACGUCAAGUCCUCAUGGCCCUUAUGGGUAGGGCUUCACACGUCAUACAAUGGUACAUACAGAGGGCCGCCAACCCGCGAGGGGGAGCUAAUCCCAGAAAGUGUAUCGUAGUCCGGAUUGUAGUCUGCAACUCGACUGCAUGAAGUUGGAAUCGCUAGUAAUCGCGGAUCAGCAUGUCGCGGUGAAUACGUUCCCGGGUCUU
This 461-nucleotide ribosomal RNA is filed under the name uncultured bacterium. RNAcentral's name for it is "bacterial SSU rRNA". It matches the Rfam family "Bacterial small subunit ribosomal RNA", at positions 917 to 1382 of the family's 1533-position model. The record is from RNAcentral.